UAGGGCAUUAAAAUAAACGUCGAUGUAGUGCUCCUGAGUUCACAUUGAUUUGUCAGGUUUGUGCUCAAGCUGAAUCAUGCCUGAACCAGCGAAGUCCGCGCCUAAGAAGGGCUCCAAGAAGGCCGUCACCAAGACCGCCGGUAAGGGAGGAAAGAAGCGCAAGAGGUCCAGGAAGGAGAGUUAUGCUAUCUACGUCUACAAAGUUCUGAAGCAGGUUCAUCCUGACACCGGCAUCUCUUCCAAGGCGAUGGGAAUCAUGAACUCUUUCGUCAACGACAUCUUCGAGCGCAUCGCCGGUGAGUCGUCUCGUCUCGCUCACUACAACAAGCGCUCCACCAUCACUUCUAGAGAGAUCCAGACCGCCGUGCGUCUGCUGCUGCCCGGAGAGCUGGCCAAACACGCCGUGUCCGAGGGCACCAAGGCAGUGACCAAGUACACCAGCUCCAAGUAGAGAUUCAACCGAGACUAUCAGCGACCCAAAGGCUCUUUUAAGAGCCACCCAUAUUUUCAGUUAAAAGAGACUAUUUGUGUUUCGGUAAUUAUAAGUAGCUUAUGUUUGCCGGCCUUUAUUUUUGGGGUUCGUAUGAGGAUUUUGAAAAUUUGGCUUUUAGUGAAUUAGAUCAAUCUGCAAAAUAUGUUCUGCUACAAGACCCAAACAAGAGCUUAAUUAGACUUGGGUUGAAGAGAGUUGUUACAAAAUCCUGUUUAGGAAAUACUGCAUCCCUAAUGGAAUUUUUACAGAAAAGUUUUCAGUUUUUUCUUCCUUUCCUGAAACCCAUUUUUACUUUUGUGAUUUUACCUCUAAAUUUUGUGGGUGUGUGUUUAAUUGGUUUUCAUUUAUGACUGUUUGUGUUUCCACUCAGAUGCUUUCUUCUGUUUACUAUUUUACUACACAUCAAACAAACAGUGAGUGUACAAGACAUCCCUCUAGACUUCAUACUCUCAUUUCUGUAUUUAUUUAUCCUGAAAUAUUUACCUUAUUGGUUGUGUGGAAUUUAGAUUAGAACAAAAUCACUUUACUACCUGGUUAAAAGCACUGCAACCAGCAACCAGAUCUCUAUCAAUCAGACACAUUACAAGAUCAUCAUGUGUUCAUGUGGCUGCUACAAUUGUAUCUGUAAUUUUUUGAAAUUGUCAGAACAAUCAUAAAUUUAAUUGGUUUGAUGGGAUGUUUUUUUUUUUUUUUUUUUUUCCCUCAACCCACUGUGUUUAUGGUGUUUGUAAAUAUUAACAGUUAAUAAUUAAUAGUUAUAUAAUAUUAAUAAUUAAAGUGCUCUCUCUAAACACUUGAAUUAUGUGUUCAUGACAGUCACACACACCUUGUGGUUAUUAGGGGUUCAAGCACAAAGUGCUGAAACCCUAUUGUAUUUGUAAGGAUUUUUAUUGUUAUUCUUCUGCUGUAAAACUGAUCGUGCAGCCCAAACCGUAAGUGCUAGAGACUUUGUCAGAUGAUAGGUCAGAGAUCGAGGAGAGGUUGACAGAGUAUGACCUCAAUCGGCCAAUAGGUGGCACUACAGCGAUCAAAAGUUGUAAAUCGCUAAUAACUCCUAGACCUUUUGUCCUAGAAUCAAGUGUCUUAUAUCAUUGGAAUCUUUGGCUCAAAAAAAAUGUCCGCCAUUUUAAAUUUUGUCCAAAACCUACUUUUGCGAACUAGUCCUAGGUUUUUCGCCUGAUCGGAACCAAACCAGUGCAGAAAUGUUUUCUGUAGUGUGAAUAUCAAUAAUUAUCAAAAAAAAAAAAAGUUGAAAUUUUGAUUCACGGUUGCUAAGGGGCGCCAAAACGUACGAUGUGGGCGGAGCCACUUUUACUAAAAUGGCUAUAACUCGAGAACGAAAUGAGAUAUUCGCACCAAACUCGGUACACAUAUGUAGGGGCUAAAUUUUUGGUCACAAUAAAAAAAAAUUGAGGCGAUUGGCCACUAGGUGGCGCUAUAACACGAGAAAAAAAAAAAAACAUGACAACAGCUAUAACUAUGCAGCCGUUAGCCCGAUCGACUUGAAAUUUGGCAUGCAGUGUCUUGGUCCAAGGGGGCAUGAUAUUCUAUGAGGACAUUGGUGUAUCUCAAAAAACAUGGCCGCUAUCGGAACACCUAUUAGACAAGGUUAACGGAGGCAGAUCGGAACGAAACUCGGUGUGCAUGAUCAACUCAUGGGCCUAGAGGUCUGUAAGAAUUUUGAAAGAAAUCGGCCACUAGUUGGUGCUAACGAGAUUUUACGCCUCUGUAAUCACGUGGUGUUUCACAGAUCCACACAAUAUGCAUAUCAUUUGAUAGAUCUCCUCAUGCUGAACAACUUUGCCUCAAGAACCAAUGCUGUCAUUUAUAUAAUGGGUGUGGCCAAAUAUACUCAAAAGCCUAUAAAUCAUUAAUGAAAACUCAGAACUUCACAAAAAAAAAAAAAAAAAAAAAGUGAGCACAUGCAACAUGACUCUAAACAAGCAUGCCAACUUUUAUGGAGAUCGGACCAUAGGUGGCACUAUAACUGUUAAAAAAAAAAAACCUUUAAAAAACGUGUUUUUAAUGGUUUUAGAUGAAAAUGUGUAUAACUCUGCGUGUAGUUGAUUUAUUUUCACGGGAGUUAUGUCUUUAGACUCCUGAAUCCUUGCCGAGUCCAACGAUACCA
RNA transcript from Ctenopharyngodon idella (grass carp), 2621 nucleotides. It is a transcript of the gene named histone H2B-like, with no coding region annotated. Lineage: Eukaryota; Metazoa; Chordata; Actinopteri; Cypriniformes; Xenocyprididae. The transcript is spliced from 2 exons. The record is from RefSeq and is a predicted model, not a curated record.